RNAcentral lists this ribosomal RNA (482 nucleotides) under uncultured bacterium. RNAcentral describes it as "partial 16S ribosomal RNA". It matches the Rfam family "Bacterial small subunit ribosomal RNA", at positions 28 to 507 of the family's 1533-position model. The record is from RNAcentral.
GAUGAACGCUGGCGGCGUGCCUAAUACAUGCAAGUCGAACGCUUCACUUCGGUGAAGAGUGGCGAACGGGUGAGUAAUACAUAAGUAACCUGGCAUCUACAGGGGGAUAACUGAUGGAAACGUCAGCUAAGACCGCAAAGGUGUAGAGAUCGCAUGAACUCUAUAUGAAAAGUGCUACGGGACUGGUAGAUGAUGGACUUAUGGCGCAUUAGCUUGUUGGUAGGGUAACGGCCUACCAAGGCGACGAUGCGUAGCCGACCUGAGAGGGUGACCGGCCACACUGGGACUGAGACACGGCCCAGACCCCUACGGGAGGCAGCAGUAGGGAAUUUUCGGCAAUGGGGGAAACCCUGACCGAGCAACGCCGCGUGAAGGAAGAAGUAAUUCGUUAUGUAAACUUCUGUCAUAGAGGAAGAACGGUGGAUAUAGGGAAUGAUAUCCAAGUGACGGUACUCUAUAAGAAAGCCACGGCUAACUACGUG